AAAGAAUACAAAAAUACAAUUUCAACAAUCAUCCAGGACAGAAUUCCAAAGACAAAGAACACAUAAAGACUAUGCUACAGAAAAUCUAUGAUGAAUCUUUUUGUCAAAGAACCAUUCUGUCAAAUAUUUUCUAAAAAUAUUUUUGGCUUAGGUAUGCAUACAUAUAGGUGUCUGUAGUACCACUUUCUGUAACUUUUUUUAAAGUUUAGUUUCAGUUCAGUUCAGUCGCUCAGUCGUGUCUGGUUCUUUGCGACCCCAUGAACCGCAGCAGGCCAGGCCUCCCUGUCCAUCACCAACUCCCAGAGUUUACCCAAACCCAUGUCCAUCGAGUCGGUGAUGCCAUCCAACCAUCUCAUCCUCUGUCGUCCCCUUCUCCUCCUGCCUCCAGUCCCCUCCCAGCAUCAGGGUCUUUUCCAAUGAGUCAGCUCUUCGCAUGAGGUGGCUAAAGUACUGGAGUUUCAGCUUCAACAUCAGUCCUUCCAAUGAACACCCAGGACUGAUCUCCUUUAGGAUGGACAGGUUGGAUCUCCUUGCAGUCCAAGGGACUCUCAAGAGUCUUCUCCAACACCGCAGUUAAAAAGCAUCAAUUCUCCAGCACUCAGCUUUCUUUAUAGUCCAACUCUCACAUCCAUACAUGACCACUGGAAAAACCAUAGCCUUGACUAGACGGACCUUUGUUGGCAAAGUAAUGUCUCUGCUUUUUCAUAUGCUGUCUAGGUUGGUCAUAACUUUCCUUCCAAGGAGUAAGCGUCUUUUAAUUUCAUUGCUGCAAUCACCAUCUGCAGUGAUUUUGGAGCCCGGAAAAAUAAAGUCAGCCACUGUUUCCCCAUCUAUUUGCCAUGAAGUGAUGGGACCGGAUGCCAUGAUCUUAGUUUUUUGAAUGUUGAGCUUUAAGCCAACUAAAAAUCUAUUGAGCUCAAAUUUCCAUAUGUUACUUUUUUUGAGUAGGAUACACUUGCACAGAUUCCUUUUGGAGACCCAAUUUGACUCAUCAUCUUAAAACUCAAUGACCUAUUACAAAAUGAUAACAAUCAGUGACUUUUAAAAUAUUAAAACCUAUGUUCUGGCCUUAAUUAGUCAUUUGUGUCCCAAACACUCAGACACAGAUAUUUUGACCUGCUUGACUCAAAGCCACACUGAAUAGCUGAAUCCACAUGCUACUUCCUUUCGACAAUAUGAUUUUCUACAAAAUUCAUGAGAAAUAAAAGAUGGGUAAGAACAACAAAUCCUAUUUUGAGGACAAACUUAGAAGAGCAAAGGGACCACAGUGAUCAGAGCCUAAUGCAAAGUCUCUGACCCUCAGGCACUCAGUAAACCUGGCUGCUACAUUGAAGAGUCUGCCCAAGGUCAGAGCUGAGGUUCCUAACUGAAAUCUAAUGUUAGCUCACACAGACAGAAAAUAAGUGGCUACAAGAACACAGAGCUAACAUCCAGUUAUUUAUGUUAAUGCUAAGAGAUAAGAAAGAAAAUCAAAAGUAUCAAUUAGAUACACCUCAUUCAAAAGUCACCCUCAAAGAGCUUUCUUUUCUAGUUUAUAACUUUCCCAGAGGCAAGAGCAUCCUUGUACAGUUCCCAAAGUUUCAACUUAUAUCUUAAAAUGAGCAUAAUUCUUUUAAAAUUUUUCUUGAUAAAUUUUCAUUAGUAGUAUGUCACAAAAGUACUGAGAAAAUUACAUAUAUUUGAUGUUAAAAAUUAUAAUCACUUUCAGUUCAUCUGGAGAAAACUUUUAUUAUUUUAAAUUCUACUAAUUAAGAAAAUACAGUACAUAUGAUCUCCUGGGCUGAGGCUCACCUCUAAAAUAUAUGUUUUAAAGCAAGGGGAGGGGAUUGUCUAUUAUUGAACUUUAAGUCUCAGAACAGCACCAUUCUAGCAUGAGUUUUUUUAUCAAACAAUGAGCUAUUUAUAAACAGCCAAUACACUUAAAAGAGUCUCUGAAGCAUAACUUUCCUUAAAAGCAGAGUUGGCAAACAUACCUAAAAAUAAAAUCACAUUACUUUACAAAUGUUUUGCAGCAAUGAAAACAUGUACCACAACUCAGACCUUAGUUUCUAAAUAUACCAUUUUCCAUUCAAAGGCAGCAGGGUUCCUCUGUAAAAUGGCUGAUUCCAGGGUUGGGGCAGAAAAAGUACAAGAUGAAUCCAGCAUAUCCUGCUAUUCCUCAUCAAAGACUGAUGAGAACACAGAGGCCAGCUUGAAGGAACCCACACUGGCCAAAUCUCGAGUGAUGAUACUAAAGGAUUUUAACUCAUUGAAUCAGGGAAACCCAGAUCCUAACAGUGGUGAGCAGCGUGGGGAAAGAAGCCUGAAGCAGUUGAGGUUAGGAAGCAAGACUGAAGCAAUUACAAAAAGCUGGGUUCUAAUCUCACUGACUGACUUACUAUGGAAUGGAAAAAACAUCAAUAAAGAGCUGACUUUGAAAGUGCUCUAUGGAUAAACAAACAAAUCUAACUAAAUAAAACAUAAAACCUCUACACGGAAGAAGUAAUUGCAGAUCUGCAUUUACUGAUGUGGGAAAAUCUCUAAAAUAUAUUAGUAAGUAGAAGAUGUAAGUCUCAGAAGAUUAUAUACAAUAUAAACAAAUGUAUGUAAAUAAAAAUAAUCAGGCACAUUUCUAUAUGCAGAGAAAAAUUCUGAUGGAUAUAUAGGAAAUACACAGGAUUGACUACCUAACGGAAUGGAAAUAAAGACACCAAAAGAUUUCUUUUUAAUGAUGAAGAAAACCUAACUUAAAUAACAGUUGACCUUUUCAGAGUAAUGUGAAAGUACUUAAUAUUGCUGAACUACAGGAAGGGAAUCAAGAUGAUGGAGGAGGAGGAAGUGGAGCUCCUCACCCCCAACAAACACAUAACACGGAACAAUUCUCACAGAAAACUAACUGGAAACUGGCAGAUCUCCCGUACACCCAAAGCUGCCCGGAGAUCUCCCUGUCACCAGGGAGAAGGCAUCAGGUCCAGUACCUGUGCCACUGGGAGGGAUCUGUGAGGAACAGAAGGUCCAGAGGGAGUGGAUCAACCCACAAUUUGGGCACUCCCAUGCCAGUCCUGGGGUCCUACAUGCGCAGUCAAGCCCUCUAGCCUGCUGGGAAAUCUGCCAAGACAGACAGAAUAAUGGAAAUCACCCAAUCAAAACAGCAGACAGAAAGACAAAUGAAAAAAAUGAAAGCAACAUUAUGAGGUCUAUGGGAUGAUCAUAAAGUGUUCCAACUUGUGCAUAACAGGGAUUCUGAAUCCUAACAGAUUCAGGGAUUCUGCAAACAGAGAGGGAGAAGGAAAUCAAAAAACAUUAUUUCAAGAAAUUAUGACUGAAAACUUCCUAAACCCAAAGAAUGAAACAGAUAUCAAGGUACAGGAAGCAUAGAGAGAGGGUCCUAAACAA
Molecule: long non-coding RNA, 3375 nt
Organism: Dama dama (fallow deer)
Lineage: Eukaryota; Metazoa; Chordata; Mammalia; Artiodactyla; Cervidae
Exons: 2
Source: RefSeq, a predicted model, not a curated record